AGGACGAACGCUGGCGGCGUGCUUAACACAUGCAAGUCGAACGAGGUCCAACCUCUCGCAAGAGAGGGGAAGACCUAGUGGCGAACGGGUGCGUAACACGUGAGGAACCUGCCCCGAAGACCGGGACAACACCGGGAAACCGGUGCUAAUACCGGAUAUCCCCAUCGAAUCGCAUGGUUUGAUGAGGAAAUGGAUUCCGCUUUGGGAGGGCCUCGCGGCCUAUCAGCUUGUUGGUGAGGUAACGGCUCACCAAGGCUUCGACGGGUAGCUGGUCUGAGAGGACGACCAGCCACACUGGGACUGAGACACGGCCCAGACUCCUACGGGAGGCAGCAGUGGGGAAUCUUGCGCAAUGGGCGAAAGCCUGACGCAGCAACGCCGCGUGCGGGAUGACGGCCUUCGGGUUGUAAACCGCUUUCAGUAGGACGAAUUGACGGUACCUGCAGAGAAGCCCGGCCAACUACGUGCCAGCAGCCGC
RNAcentral lists this ribosomal RNA (478 nucleotides) under uncultured bacterium. RNAcentral's name for it is "SSU rRNA". It matches the Rfam family "Bacterial small subunit ribosomal RNA", at positions 26 to 518 of the family's 1533-position model. The record is from RNAcentral.